CCUACGGGAGGCAGCAGUGAGGAAUAUUGGUCAAUGGACGAGAGUCUGAACCAGCCAAGUAGCGUGAAGGAUGACUGCACAAUGUGUCGUAAACCUCUUUUAUAAAGGAAUAAAACGAGGCACGUGUGCCUUUUUGCAUGUACUUUAUGAAUAAGGAUCGGCUAACUCCGUGCCAGCAGCCGCGGUAAUACGGAGGAUCCGAGCGUUAUCCGGAUUUAUUGGGUUUAAAGGGAGCGUAGGUGGGUUGUUAAGUCAGUUGUGAAAGUUCGCGGCUCAACCGUAAAAUUGCAAUUGAUACUGGCAGUCUUGAGUACAAGUGAGGUAGGCGGAAUGCGUGGUGUAGCGGUGAAAUGCUUAGAUAUCACGAAGAACCCCGAUUGCGAAGGCAGCUUACUAAACUGUGACUGACAUUGAUGCUCGAAAGUGUGGGUAUCAAACAGGAUUAGAUACCCCAGUAGUC
Molecule: ribosomal RNA, 460 nt
Filed under: uncultured bacterium
Lineage: Bacteria
Description: partial 16S ribosomal RNA
Rfam family: Bacterial small subunit ribosomal RNA
Source: RNAcentral